AAUCUGUCUUAGUGGCGGACGGGUGAGUAACGCGUGGGCAACCUGCCCUGUACCGGGGGAUAACACUUAGAAAUAGGUGCUAAUACCGCAUAAUAGGGAAUACCGCAUGGUAAUCCUUUGAAAACUCCGGUGGUACAGGAUGGGCCCGCGUCUGAUUAGCCAGUUGGCGGGGUAACGGCCCACCAAAGCGACGAUCAGCAGCCGGCCUGAGAGGGUGGACGGCCACACUGGGACUGAGACACGGCCCAAACUCCUACGGAAGGCAGCAG
This 269-nucleotide ribosomal RNA is filed under the name uncultured bacterium. RNAcentral describes it as "partial 16S ribosomal RNA". It matches the Rfam family "Bacterial small subunit ribosomal RNA", at positions 84 to 354 of the family's 1533-position model. The record is from RNAcentral.